This 565-nucleotide ribosomal RNA is filed under the name Candida albicans. RNAcentral describes it as "eukaryotic LSU rRNA". It matches the Rfam family "Eukaryotic large subunit ribosomal RNA", at positions 67 to 648 of the family's 3401-position model. Lineage: Eukaryota; Fungi; Ascomycota; Pichiomycetes; Serinales; Debaryomycetaceae. The record is from RNAcentral.
AACAGGGAUUGCCUCAGUAGCGGCGAGUGAGCGGCAAAAGCUCAAAUUUGAAAUCUGGCGUCUUUGGCGUCCGAGUUGUAAUUUGAAGAAGGUAUCUUUGGGCCCGGCUCUUGUCUAUGUUCCUUGGAACAGGACGUCACAGAGGGUGAGAAUCCCGUGCGAUGAGAUGACCCGGGUCUGUGUAAAGUUCCUUCGACGAGUCGAGUUGUUUGGGAAUGCAGCUCUAAGUGGGUGGUAAAUUCCAUCUAAAGCUAAAUAUUGGCGAGAGACCGAUAGCGAACAAGUACAGUGAUGGAAAGAUGAAAAGAACUUUGAAAAGAGAGUGAAAAAGUACGUGAAAUUGUUGAAAGGGAAGGGCUUGAGAUCAGACUUGGUAUUUUGCAUGCUGCUCUCUCGGGGGCGGCCGCUGCGGUUUACCGGGCCAGCAUCGGUUUGGAGCGGCAGGAUAAUGGCGGAGGAAUGUGGCACGGCUUCUGCUGUGUGUUAUAGCCUCUGACGAUACUGCCAGCCUAGACCGAGGACUGCGGUUUUUACCUAGGAUGUUGGCAUAAUGAUCUUAAGUCGC